GGGCAAGUAGCCGAAUUGGUAUAGGCGCCAGUCUUAGGAACUGGUUCCGAAAGGAGUGAGGGUUCGAGUCCCUCCUUGCCCA
This 82-nucleotide transfer RNA is filed under the name Candidatus Moraniibacteriota bacterium. Its description in RNAcentral is "tRNA-Leu". It matches the Rfam family "tRNA". From Rfam's summary of the family: Transfer RNA (tRNA) molecules are approximately 80 nucleotides in length. Lineage: Bacteria; Candidatus Moraniibacteriota. The record is from RNAcentral.